UGCAUUGUUAGGAAGUACAGUAGAUGG
RNAcentral lists this small RNA (27 nucleotides) under Bombyx mori (domestic silkworm). RNAcentral describes it as "ovarian small RNA-33628". The record is from RNAcentral. Lineage: Eukaryota; Metazoa; Arthropoda; Insecta; Lepidoptera; Bombycidae.